Molecule: RNA transcript, 5138 nt
Organism: Nematostella vectensis (starlet sea anemone)
Lineage: Eukaryota; Metazoa; Cnidaria; Anthozoa; Actiniaria; Edwardsiidae
Exons: 3
Source: RefSeq, a predicted model, not a curated record
UCAAGAGAAUUAUGGUUAGGAGAUGUUGUGUGAGGGGGUGAGGCAUGUUGGAGUAAAACAUCAUCUUCAAUGUAGGAAGGGUCUGUAUGAUAAGGGGUGUUGGGUGUUGAGGUGUUAGAGUAGAGUGUGGGCGUGUGGGUGGAUUGGGUUGUGGCAGUAGUGGUUAACACGUGUGGGCGUACAAUAGGUGCUGUUGUGCCAUAGCGACGGCGGGUGGAGGCUGUGGAGAGAUUAUAAUGAUGAGUGUUAGCAGUGUGGGAGGGAGGGGGGUUGUGUGUUGUUAUCAGAGGAAAAGUGGAAAGGAGGUGAGGUGUGGGAGGGGGUACGUCUUGGGAUCACAGAUUGUGGUACAGCACUUUCCCCGUAUGGUACAUAACUUUUUGGUUUGGAUCGGGUAUUCGUACCAAGACGUAGGGGCCUAAAGUGGCGUGGUAGUGAGGUGGGUGUGAUCAUAUGGUAUGGUGAUGUUGGAGGGUGAUGGUGAAGGAUGGCUAAUAAGGUAAUGUAGAGUGGAGAUGGUAGUAAUGUAAUUAAGGUGAAAAGGUGGAUAGUUUAGUCUAGUAGGUGGUGGAGGGUGGUGAAAAGAUAAAGUGGGACUAUAGAAUAGGUUGUGGUAGUGUGGUGGGUAGGUGAAAAAGAAAAAUAAUAAUAAUAAUAAUAUUGUGUGGUAGAGAGAUGGCUAAUGGCUGUGUUGGUGGGGAAAAAAUUGGUACGGUGUAUAGGUAAGAGUGGUGGUGAGGGGGAUGUGGAGUAGAUAAGGCUUAUAAUUUAGCGUGAUGGGUCUGUGUGUGUUAAAAUGGUAGUGGUGCGGAGGUCGAUUUCGAAUUUGUAAGGUUAUGGUUUAAAUGUGGGUGAUAAUAUAUCGUUAUGAGAGUGAGUGAGUGUGGUAUUGUAGUAUAUAGGAAGGCGGUGAUAGAAGAUGAAGAUGGUGAUAGGUUGAGAUAAGUAGGUGGAGAGGUGGUUGUGUAGCGAAUGGUGAAACUUAGUUUAUGUUUGUGAAGUUGCAGUGUGAAGGAAGGGGAAGGGGUGAUAGGGUUAUCAGGUUAUGUUCGGGUGGUUAAGAUUAUGGAUUAUGAGACGACGAGUUAAGGUUGUUAUAAGAGAUGGGGUUGAUAAUAAAACGACAUGAGAGUUAUGAAUAAAGGGUUUUUUUUGUUGAGUGGAGAAGGUAGUUAGUAAAUAUGGUAUUAUGUGGAGAUUGAAACAGUUAAAAUCGGUAGCUUGUAGCUCCGAACGUCAAAAGCAAAGGUCCACCGAUCGUGGAGAUAUUAAGAGAUAUUACGACCCACCGAUGGAGCUAUGGGUACCUAGAAGUUUCAAAAGUCUCGCUAAAAUUUAGCAAAAUCUUGGAAUCUCGGUGCUUUUUACGCAAGUCCAAAAGUCCCGUUUUUCUGAAAAUUGCGUGCUCUGUCUCAGAUUCAAAUUUUUUUUUAAAAAGUCUAGGGCUCGGAUUCUGAAACACGGGUCUUGGCGCCUCGGCAAGUCUCGGAAUUACCUAUCGCUACCGUUUUUGAAGUGGCGUUUAGCGCGCCGGAAAUGGGAACACGAAACACGUUUAUCGCCGGCGUUGCGUAGACGCUACGAGAGUAUUUGUUAGGCUUAAUAAAUUGAGGAGACUAUCCAAAAAUGUUUUUCAUGCCUUGAAAGACAUUCAGAAAAUUCUGAAACCCGCACCCUUUUUGAAAAACCGUACACCUUCAGAAACUGAACAAAACAACUACCCGCGACUAAUGACCGCCGGUCGCCAGCUCACUAUUUCCGUUACAGGCACUGGAGAGGCUGAACCACAAAGCGUCUCGAGAAAGAGUCAGAAAAUUCGGAAAUCCGCGACCCGCGACUUGUUCAACAAAGUGACCGCACGCGCAGGUAGUCUGGUAUUUUAUCGGUCGCUACCACGCCCAUAUAAAUCUAGCUUUUUUAAUAUCCGAUGUGAAUUAAUUUAUCUCGUCAGGUAAAAAAAAACAUAUAAUCAGAAAAAAGUAUCGUUAUCCGAACUGCCUCAAACCUAAAAUGCAUAAAAAAAAACUGGUUUAACAAAUAAUCACAAACCAACUCACCAUAAAAAGCCAUCAACGUGACGCAGUUUAGUUUCUUGAUGACCAUUUCUGUGUUGCACUUCUUGCAACGUGCCGGGUUUUCCAAUAAGGAAUGGUCUUGCAGCCAUGUAAUUAGUGUUUCAGUUGGCCCGAACGCAAAUCUAGUGAUUGUCUUUAAGUCCAUUUCAAGGGUGGAUCUUCACAACAAAUCAAUGGAACGAUCUGAAACACGAUGUCGGUCUCACGCAGAGAUCUCGCAUGACUUCCGAUUUAUCACUUAAUGAUUGACCAAUUUUGUACCACGUGAUGUCGAGUCCCCCGUGCCUGUUACUCUUCUCACCUCAUACUUAGUGUGGAAGAGUCGACUCUGCGAGAAACAUGUCUCAAAAGAAAGGAAAGUUCCGCGUUUUUUUAGACGGGGAUGACUCAUCGGAUGAUAAUAUAGCGAAUAAGGCUAUAGAGAGAAAGUAUACGAAGACUUUUGUAAUCAUGAGCGGCCCUAAUCGGCCGAUGCGAGUGCCGCACAGCUUGGAGCCGUUGACUCUGACAAACAGAGUGGCGGAGGUUACUUUUUGCCGGUCGUGGAACAAAGUUCAAGUGUACGGAGUAUUGUGCUCUAAUCUACCUGCACUCUCGACUAGACACGCAGCCAGCCUUAGAUGGUUCAGGAGCCAAGACAGGGGGUCCAAAAUGGAAAAGGUUGCGUGUGGAAUGGUAAGUAGUGAGCAAAUUGCAGCAGCCUACCCUAGGGCCGAAACAGAAGGUCUAUCUCUGGUUGGAGCCAGAAGGGCAAGAAGGUGAAUAUUAUUAUUGUUUGUUGUAAGAUUUGUGUGAUUCCAGAAAUGAUUCAGCCCCCUCCCAUCUACCGCCUGUAAUUUUAUCAAAAAUCCAAAAAAUAGGUAACAAAUAGAAUGGAAUUUGACCCACCCUCUUUCCAAAAGAGACAAACAGUAUUUUAGGCAUCAUACUAAAAUACUUAUCCUUAUCCUUAUUUUUCUGGGAGGUCCUUUGAUUUUUAUCAGAGCUUCGCAGGACAUCCAAAUAUACUAAACUAUCAUCAGUUAGACCUAUAAGUUGAAAAUGCUCAAUUGUCAUAAAGAUAUCUGCUAUUUCUUUUUUCUGCUCUAAUUUUAUUGAUAUAUCUUAAUACAUAAAGUUGCUUUGUCCCAUACUCCCCAGUUUAUCCUAAAAUGUUAAAAAAAUGAAUUGCAGGAGUUGUGUCCAAUAUUUGUGUCAGGGGUCAUUUCAUUUUUCCUGUCUAACAUUUAAAAAACAUAACUGCCUGUUACAAAGGCUAUUUGUACAACAGUCACAUGUUUAAAUUAACCACACUUUCAUUUCUUUUUUUAAGGUAGCAUGCAAAGUUAAAAAAAAAUGACUAAGGUGAGUACAGUUUGUACUUAACGAGCCCAUUUAGUAUCCAAAAGCAAUUAGAGCUGGGAUGACCGACCAGACAGAAAAGGUGCAAGUGUCGUGUGCCUGGACUUGAGGGUGUUGUUGCCAGGAGUGACAUUUACCUGACAGGGAAGGUACAAGUGUCGUGUGCCUGGACUGAAGGGUUGUUUUUUUGCCAGGAGUGACAUUUACCUGACAGGGAAGGUACAAGCGUCGUGUGCCUGGACUUGAGGGUGUUGUUGCCAGGAGUGACAUUUACCUGACAGGGAAGGUACAAGCGUAGUGUGCCUGGACUUGAGGGUGUUGUUGCCAGGAGUGACAUUUACCUGACAGGGAAGGUACAAGCGUAGUGUGCCUGGACUGAAGGGUGUUGUUGCCAGGAGUGACAUUGACCUGACAGGGAAGGUACAAGCGUCGUGUGCCUGGACUUGAGGGUGUUGUUGCCAGAAGUGACAUUUACCUGACAGGGAAGGUACAAGCGUCAUGUGCCUGGACUUGAGGGUGUUGUUGGCAGGAGUGACAUUUACCUGACAGGGAAGGUACAAGCGUCGUGUGCCUGGACUGAAGGGUUUUUUUUUGCCAGGAGUGACAUUUACCUGACAGGGAAGGUACAAGUGUCGUGUGCCUGGACUUGAGGGUGUUGUUGCCAGGAGUGACAUUUACCUGACAGGGAAGGUACAAGCGUCGUGUGCCUGGACUUGAGGGUGUUGUUGCCAGGAGUGACAUUUACCUGACAGGGAAGGUACAAGCGUCGUGUGCAUGGACUGAAGGGUGUUGUUGCCACGAGUGACAUUUACCUGGCAGGGAAGGUACAAGCGUCGUGUGCCUGGACUUGAGGGUGUUGUUGCCAGGAGUGACAUUAACCUGACAGGGAAGGUACAAGCGUCGUGUGCCUGGACUUGAGGGUGUUGUUGCCAGGAGUGACAUUUACCUGACAGGGAAGGUACAAGUGUCGUGUGCCUGGACUUGAGGGUGUUGUUGCCAGGAGUGACAUUUACCUGACAGGGAAGGUACAAGUGUCGUGUGCCUGAACUUGAGGGUGUUGUUGCCAGGAGUGACAUUUACCUGACAGGGAAGGUACAAGCGUCGUGUGCCUGGACUGAAGGGUGUUGUUGCCACAAGUGACAUUUACCUGACAGGGAAGGUACAAGCGUCGUGUGCCUGGACUUGAGGGUGUUGUUGCCAGGAGUGACAUUAACCUGACAGGGAAGGUACAAGUGUCGUGUGCCUGGACUUCAGGGUGUUGUUGCCAGGAGUGACAUUUACCUGACAGGGAAGGUACAAGUGUCGUGUGCCUGGACUGAAGGGUGUUGUUGCCAGGAGUGACAUUUACCUGACAGGGAAGGUACAAGUGUCGAGUGUGUGUAUGAAAGUGAAAUGGUACUCGCAUUUGUUUUGUUUUUUUUAGAUUGGCAUGUCCGGGUCGACAAAGAAUGACGAGAAAGGAAAGCCAGAAAAUGAAAUAAACAUAAAAAAGAAUAUGUAAAAUCAAGAGAGGAAUUCUUUGUUAUCCCCUGGAAAUACGUCGAAAGUGUUACAGUUAAAUUGAAAAUAUUUGUUUUUUUUGUUGUUGUUUAUUUUUCUGCAUCCUAAUUAUUAUGUAAAUUGUUUGAUUUCUAAUAAAUCUUGUUAUUUAUAUGCGAAAAUUGUAUUUUGUAAAUUAACAGAUUAAGUGUGAAAAUAAAUGGAUAACUUAUGCUAUCAAAA